CGUCCAAGUACAAUAGGCCGUCAGUGGGACAUCAUAGAGGGUGACAAUCCCGUCCUUGAUGCCAAUGUGCAAGUCCAUUACGAUGGCUAUCUCAGAGAGUCGAGCAGUUUGGGAUUUGCUGCUUAAACAUGGGAGGUAGAUUCCUUCUAAAGCUAAAUACAGGCGAGAGACCGAUAGAGAACAAGUACCGCAAGGGAAAGAUGAAAUAGCACUCUGUGAAGGGAGUCAAAAGGCGUGAAAUUGUUGCGAGAGAAGCGAUUCAAGUCAGCGUAGCUAGGCCCAUCAAGCCUUUUUGCUUUGGACUAGCUUUGCCAGCGGUCUUGUCCCUUAAAAGGGACUUGACUUGUAAUGUGUCCAGCCUGGCGUGCACAGGCAGCCCCUUCUGGGGGCCAGUGGCAUGGCUGGUGGAAUGGCUUGCAAUCGACCCGUCUUGAAACACGGACCAAGGAGUCUAACAUGUAUGCGAGUAUAAGGGUGGCAAACCCGUAUGCGCAAUGAAAGUGAUUUUCGAUGAUUGA
This 518-nucleotide ribosomal RNA is filed under the name Cantharellus pinetorum. Its description in RNAcentral is "partial large subunit ribosomal RNA". It matches the Rfam family "Eukaryotic large subunit ribosomal RNA", at positions 178 to 742 of the family's 3401-position model. The record is from RNAcentral. Lineage: Eukaryota; Fungi; Basidiomycota; Agaricomycetes; Cantharellales; Hydnaceae.